AACGAACGCUGGCGGCAUGCCUAACACAUGCAAGUCGAACGAACCCUUCGGGGUUAGUGGCGCACGGGUGCGUAACGCGUGGGAAUCUGCCCUUUGCUUCGGAAUAACUCAGGGAAACUUGUGCUAAUACCGGAUGAUGUCUUCGGACCAAAGAUUUAUCGGCAAGGGAUGAGCCCGCGUAGGAUUAGGUAGUUGGUGGGGUAAAGGCCUACCAAGCCGACGAUCCUUAGCUGGUCUGAGAGGAUGACCAGCCACACUGGGACUGAGACACGGCCCAGACUCCUACGGGAGGCAGCAGUGGGGAGUAUUGGGCAAUGGGCGCAAGCCUGAUCCAGCAAUGCCGCGUGAGUGAUGAAGGCCCUCGGGUCGUAAAGCUCUUUUACCAGGGAUGAUAAUGACAGUACCUGGAGAAUAAGCUCCGGCUAACUCCGUG
Molecule: ribosomal RNA, 433 nt
Filed under: uncultured bacterium
Lineage: Bacteria
Description: partial 16S ribosomal RNA
Rfam family: Bacterial small subunit ribosomal RNA
Source: RNAcentral